UGAACCCGACGACAUGUUCUUUCGUUUACCCAUUUAUCCAUGGAGGCCACAAAGAGGAUAGUUCCGAUUCUGUUCCUAGUUUUUUCAAUGGGGGCAAAACUUGGUCAGGGGAAUGCUGUAACAUCUGUUAGAGUGAAAAAGUUCCUCAAGACCUGUAAGAUAGAUCGACCUGCAGAAGGAAUAUACAACCGAAAUGAUUCUUUACCUGUGCUUGAGCUUCGUGGUAUUGUCGCUUAACUAGCAUGCUUCCCCAAUCUCUGCCGACGCGGAAGUCACUGUUGUGUUGCAAUUAACACGCUGUGGACAUCUAAUCCUAGCAAUGAAGGAAGACCUGAUAUUUCCC
RNAcentral lists this long non-coding RNA (343 nucleotides) under Triticum aestivum (bread wheat). RNAcentral's name for it is "long non-coding RNA (TAES_LNC016587)". The record is from RNAcentral. Lineage: Eukaryota; Viridiplantae; Streptophyta; Magnoliopsida; Poales; Poaceae.